This 252-nucleotide ribosomal RNA is filed under the name uncultured bacterium. Its description in RNAcentral is "partial 16S ribosomal RNA". It matches the Rfam family "Bacterial small subunit ribosomal RNA", at positions 524 to 776 of the family's 1533-position model. The record is from RNAcentral.
UACGUAGGUGGCAAGCGUUGUCCGGAAUUAUUGGGCGUAAAGCGCGCGCAGGCGGUCAUUUAAGUCUGGUGUUUAAUCCCGGGGCUCAACCCCGGAUCGCACUGGAAACUGGAUGACUUGAGUGCAGAAGAGGAGAGUGGAAUUCCACGUGUAGCGGUGAAAUGCGUAGAGAUGUGGAGGAACACCAGUGGCGAAGGCGACUCUCUGGGCUGUAACUGACGCUGAGGCGCGAAAGCGUGGGGAGCAAACAGG